RNAcentral lists this long non-coding RNA (823 nucleotides) under Nicotiana benthamiana. RNAcentral's name for it is "long non-coding RNA (NBEN_LNC041889)". Lineage: Eukaryota; Viridiplantae; Streptophyta; Magnoliopsida; Solanales; Solanaceae. The record is from RNAcentral.
AGAUAGUGAACCAUAAUACAAGCAUUUGCUUGCUUCCACGACUCGCAAAUGUAACUUAUAUGUCAUAUGAAGAUAAAUUUACACUCGACCAUAUCACAAAAGAAAAUCAACUAAACACUCGACCAUAUCAGCCCUACCUAAAGUUAGGAUCUUUUUUUUUUUUUCUAAAAUAAUAUGAAUCCCACCUAAUUUUUACCCUCCCCUUCUCCUCCCAUUCUUUCAUCCACCAUUCAACACCUUCCUUUAUCCUAAAUCACCUCUGCCUCCAUUAGAAAAGAACAAAAUUACCAAUAUAUUAUUGAAUUGUGUGGAAUCCCCGGCUGCCUCCUCCUCCCUGCAAACCAACACUGACAGCUAUUGAUUUACUCAAACCAAGUACAUAUUGAAAUAAUUAUAAACAUCUCACUUUUAAUGAAAAUACUUUAGUAGAUUACAACAUAAAUUUAAAUGAACAUCCAAUUCGGAUCCAAAAUUCUGAUGUGAAUGUCAAAUAUUAUUUUAAGAAAUUGUAAAAUUAUAAAGAAAAAAGACCCACGCUGACAUACGCCAUAUCCACGCCGGCAACAGCUUAUCUGCGUCCCCUUCAGUUCACAGUAAACCUCGGAAAAAGAAGAUCAUAAAAAAUGUGGAAAAGAGCUACUAGUCGUAGUAACCAGAGUCAGCUUUCACAGGUGAAGCAGAGGACUCGGAAGUUGAUAGGGGACGUAAAAGAGGGGCAAAAGGAAUUAAGAAGAUGAAUGCGGGAGNNNNNNNNNNNNNNNNNNNNNNNNNNNNNNNNNNNNNNGGGGGGGUUUCUUGGCGUUGGUUUUGGGUGGAAUGAAGA